GUUCUGCCCACAUUUCUUCCCAUCUUAAACCACAAACUGUGGUCUUUUUUAGUAAAAAAAAAAAAACUUUGUUCUUUCUGGACUGUCUUUGAUGAUUGCUCUGUUGUGAGGCCUUUUUAAUUUAAUCCAUCCAACAAUUCUAUCACGGACAACAAAACGUUUCUAGUCUUAUCCAACACGGGUACAAAACAUUUCUGGACUCAUCCAAUACUCAGUCCCCAAAGGAAGGGCGGUGGAAACGUUUCCCUCGUUGUAUUUUUUUCUCCAGAGGAUUACAUUUCUUAAAUUGAAGCCACUUUUGGUGAUCAUGGCUGCUCUUUCAGUGUGGUUUUGGAACGAGAGGUUUUGGCUCCCACAUAAUGUGACUUGGGCGGAUCUUGCAGACCCAGCGCCCGGGGUGGAGUAUCCAAAAGCCGGGCACUUACUCUCUGCCUUACCGUUGGCUGUGGGGAUCUUUGCUGUCAGAAUACUAUUUGAAAGGUUCAUAGCCAGUCCAUGUGCCUUCCUCUUGCAUAUCCACGCUGCCUCAGUCCACUGGCGAGCCACACCCAACCCUGUCCUGGAGAAGGUGUUCACAUCCAUCACAAAGUGCCCAGACUCGCGACGCCUGGAUGGGUUAUCUAAGCAGCUGGACUGGGAUGUGAGGAAGAUCCAGAGAUGGUUCAGACACAGACGCAACCAGGACAAACCCAGCGUACUCACCAAGUUCUGUGAGAGCAUGUGGAGGCUUAUAUUUUAUCUGUUCAUGUUUACCUAUGGGAUCUGCUUUCUGUGGAAGUGCCCAUGGAUGUGGGAUACACACCACUGCUGGUACAACUACCCCUACCAGGUCCUGACUCCAGGCCUGUACCACUACUACGUGACUGAGCUGGGCUUCUACUGGUCUCUCAUGUUCUCUCAGUUUACUGACAUCAAACGCAAGGACUUCCCCAUCAUGUUCAUUCAUCACCUAGCAACAGUGAGCCUGAUCAGUUUUUCCUACGCUAACAACAUGCUACGUGUCGGGAGCCUGGUGAUGUGUGUCCACGACGCAUCAGACUUCCUACUGGAGGCAGCCAAACUGACCAACUACGCCAAGUACCAGCGCCUGUGUGACUUCCUGUUCGUUCUGUUUGCAGUAGUCUUCUUCAUCACAAGGCUUGUCCUCUACCCUCUAUGGAUCCUGAACACAACUUUGUUUGAGAGCUGGGAGAUGAUUGGUCCAUACCCUUCCUGGUGGCUCUUCAACUCCCUACUGCUGGUGCUACAGGUGCUACACGUCAUCUGGUCCUACCUCAUAGCCGGGAUCGCCUACAAGGCCUUGGUCCGAGGAAAGGUUUCUAAGGAUGACCGCAGUGAUGUUGAGAGCAGCUCAGAGGAGGAGGUGGACACCAACGGUACCAAUAACAAGGGGGUUAAAAUGGUGUUCUCUCCUAAAGUAGAGAACGGCACCAACGGCCACGCCGUCGCCACUAUAACCUGGCCACAACAGAUACGUAGCAGCAGCAGCAGCAGCAGUUGGUGACACAAGAAAGAGGAGUCCGCUGUCAGAUUCACAGUAUAGGGCUGACCACGGGGGUCCAAUAUGUCUGGCCUGGUUACACUGGGCAGCCACUAGUUGUCGGAGCUGUGCUGGAAAGAACCAUGUCAAAAAGAAAAGGAAAAUAUCUGAGCCAACACAGUACUAUUCAGGUCGGCCCUAUAGUGAGAUUCAGGCAUAUCUGAGCCAACACAGUACUAUUCAGGUCGGCCCUAUAGUGAGAUUCAGGCAUAUCUGAGCCAACACAGUACUAUUCAGGUGCCCUAUAGUGAGAUUCAGGCAUAUCUGAGCCAACACAGUACUAUUCAGGUCGGCCCUAUAGUGAGAUUCAGGCAUAUCUGAGCCAACACAGUACUAUUCAGGUCUGCCCUAUAGUGAGAUUCAGGCAUAUCUGAGCCAACACAGUACUAUUCAGGUCGGCCCUAUAGUGAGAUUCAGGCAUAUCUGAGCCAACACAGUACUAUUCAGGUCGGCCCUAUAGUGAGAUUCAGGCAUAUCUGAGCCAACACAGUACUAUUCAGGUCGGCCCUAUAGUGAGAUUCAGGCAUAUCUGAGCCAACACAGUACUAUUCAGGUCGGCCCUAUAGUGAGAUUCAGGCAUAUCUGAGCCAACACAGUACUAUUCAGGUCGGCCCUAUAGUGAGAUUCAGGCAUAUCUGAGCCAACACAGUACUAUUCAGGUCGGCCCUAUAGUGAGAUUCAGGCAUAUCUGAGCCAACACAGUACUAUUCAGGUCGGCCCUAUAGUGAGAUUCAGGCAUAUCUGAGCCAACACAGUACUAUUCAGGUCGGCCCUAUAGUGAGAUUCAGGCAUAUCUGAGCCAACACAGUACUAUUCAGGUCGGCCCUAUAGUGAGAUUCAGGCAUAUCUGAGCCAACACAGUACUAUUCAGGUCGGCCCUAUAGUGAGAUUCAGGCAUAUCUGAGCCAACACAGUACUAUUCAGGUCGGCCCUAUAGUGAGAUUCAGGCAUAUCUGAGCCAACACAGUACUAUUCAGGUCGGCCCUAUAGUGAGAUUCAGGCAUAUCUGAGCCAACACAGUACUAUUCAGGUCGGCCCUAUAGUGAGAUUCAGGCAUAUCUGAGCCAACACAGUACUAUUCAGGUCGGCCCUAUAGUGAGAUUCAGGCAUAUCUGAGCCAACACAGUACUAUUCAGGUCGGCCCUAUAGUGAGAUUCAGGCAUAUCUGAGCCAACACAGUACUAUUCAGGUCGGCCCUAUAGUGAGAUUCAGGCAUAUCUGAGCCAACACAGUACUAUUCAGGUCGGCCCUAUAGUGAGAUUCAGGCAUAUCUGAGCCAACACAGUACUAUUCAGGUCGGCCCUAUAGUGAGAUUCAGGCAUAUCUGAGCCAACACAGUACUAUUCAGGUCGGCCCUAUAGUGAGAUUCAGGCAUAUCUGAG
Oncorhynchus tshawytscha (Chinook salmon) is the source of this 2922-nucleotide RNA transcript. It is a transcript of the gene named ceramide synthase 5, with no coding region annotated. NCBI's taxonomy places the organism in Eukaryota, Metazoa, Chordata, Actinopteri, Salmoniformes, Salmonidae. The transcript is spliced from 11 exons. The record is from RefSeq and is a predicted model, not a curated record.